UACAAUCGAUUAAGUAAAAUCACUUAGCACAUUUUUUGAAAACUUUUCUUCUCAAAAUAUCUCACAGCACAUUUGAAAAGUAUUUGUACAAACCCACGAGUUUUAAUCGAUUUGAACCACAAUGUAAUCCACUUAAAACUGUUGUUUUGCCACACUUUAAAGUUCAACCAUAGUGCUUGUGGAUUUUCAUUUCUAAAAAUAUAUAUGGGUUUGCUAAUUUACGCAAGAGAUUAUUUUAGUUGGUACAUUUUAGCAAAGUGUACCAAUUUUAGGUUACAAAAAAGACCCUAUUAAAAAAGAACAAACAUUAAAUUCAAGAAUAUAUUAAUAAUUUUAAAA
Molecule: long non-coding RNA, 339 nt
Filed under: Vigna radiata
Lineage: Eukaryota; Viridiplantae; Streptophyta; Magnoliopsida; Fabales; Fabaceae
Description: long non-coding RNA (VRAD_LNC013156)
Source: RNAcentral